This 119-nucleotide ribosomal RNA is filed under the name Sinocyclocheilus anshuiensis. The record is from RNAcentral. Lineage: Eukaryota; Metazoa; Chordata; Actinopteri; Cypriniformes; Cyprinidae.
GCUUACGGCCGUACCACCCUGUCUGCGCUCGAUCUUGUUUGAUCUCGGAAGCCAAGCAGGGUCGGGCCUGUUUAGUACUUGGAUGGGAGACCGCCAGGGAAUAGCAGGUGCUGUAAGCU